Molecule: small nuclear RNA, 241 nt
Filed under: Chinchilla lanigera (long-tailed chinchilla)
Lineage: Eukaryota; Metazoa; Chordata; Mammalia; Rodentia; Chinchillidae
Description: 7SK RNA (ENSCLAG00000021432.1)
Rfam family: 7SK RNA
About the family: 7SK was discovered as an abundant small nuclear RNA in the mid-70s but a possible function has only recently been suggested.
Source: Rfam by way of RNAcentral
AGAUUGGUGGGUGACUGUGCAAAUGUUCCCUACUGACUCCUUGUGUAUCCCUCCUGAAUGUGGGUUCUGGGUAGAAGACCACCUCUGAUAGAAAAGGGCCAUUUCUUCAGUCAAGGGUAUAUGAGUAACUGUACUCCCCUGCUAGAACCUCCAAACAAGUUCUCAAGUGAGAUUGGCGAGGAGCUAUGCUUUGACACUGAGUACCAUAAUAUGUGUAACAUUUAGCUUAGAAAUAUUAUCU